AACUCGAAAUUAAAACAUUUUUUUCUAUAAACUGCAAUAACCACAUACGGAAACAUACUUAAAUUCUUGCUGUGUAUCCUUUGUACUUUGUCCAACGCCACGGCAAUUACUGUUCACGUUAAGAGAAUCUAUUUCUUCAAUAUGCCGGGUAAGAAAAGAAAUCCCUAUUUUGAAACAAAGGGUUUGCCGGAUAAUGAUACGGAAAUGGCGUAAGAUGAUAUUUAUAUCAAAUGGAGAAAAUAAAUGGACCAUGAUAAUCAAUAAGAUAUACAGAUAAGUCACUUUCGACUAUAAAGAAAAAGAUCCUAUAGAAUCACAAAAUCUGAUGUGGCUGAGUUGAACAGGACUAACACGAUAAAAAAAUUGGGAAAAAUUAUUUUGGAUCAAAUAGUCGUUAAGGAUGUGCGCUAUGAAGCAACCUUAAUUAACCCGGUAGUUCAUUAAAAGCCUUUCAGUUUUAU
Molecule: long non-coding RNA, 461 nt
Organism: Belonocnema kinseyi
Lineage: Eukaryota; Metazoa; Arthropoda; Insecta; Hymenoptera; Cynipidae
Exons: 3
Source: RefSeq, a predicted model, not a curated record